UUACAGUAGUGGCUAUGGUCCAGAUAAACUUCCCCACUGGCCCAGACUCUUCAAAGAUGCUUUGAAGAAUGAAAGCAAGAAGGAAUGAAGGGUAUAUGGUGAGGUCAGAGAUGGGAAACACUGAGUAGGAGAAUGCCAAGUAAAUUUGUUGAUAUUAGUUAGUCAGACACUAUCUAUAGUCAAAGAAAUAGUACUCUGCAUUGGUCUGAGUAGAUGGCAGACCCCUCUUUUCUCUCCUGCAGUGCUCACUCUACAUAAUUACCAGCAGUGGCCUCAAGUUCAGACUGACAUACAGAGCACCCACCAAUCCAUAACCUGGCUUCAGAUUCCCUUAGCUUUUUGCGGGAGGAUAUAAGGCAGGAAACGGCAUUCUAGCAGGGUAGUAUCAGUGGAGUCUUUAUAC
RNAcentral lists this long non-coding RNA (403 nucleotides) under Homo sapiens (human). Its description in RNAcentral is "long non-coding RNA NONHSAT242878". The record is from RNAcentral. Lineage: Eukaryota; Metazoa; Chordata; Mammalia; Primates; Hominidae.